This is a long non-coding RNA of Mustela lutreola (European mink), 2876 nucleotides long. RefSeq lists it as uncharacterized. The transcript is spliced from 7 exons. Lineage: Eukaryota; Metazoa; Chordata; Mammalia; Carnivora; Mustelidae. The record is from RefSeq and is a predicted model, not a curated record.
UCACGAUGAAAGAGGGCGCGAUGGUUAGGUCAAACCAGGACUGCAUUUCCUCCCAUUCUGCAAGUGCAUCAACAUUAGCAAAGCCUGUAAGAAUGUUCUCCUGACUCAUUGCUUCCCGGGGCCACUUCUCCGAAGUCGGGCUGUUCACUAGAAGCCUGGACGGCAGGCAGGCUGCCCUCACUGAGCUCUCCCAGCUGCAAACCCCUCCUUUCCCUCCUCCUCCCUAAUCCUUCUGCCGCCGCCUCCUCCUCCUCCUUCUCCCCUGCAGUUGGAUUUCUCUUACAGGUUUGCAAAAAGGGAAGCCUGAGGUUUCUUUGACAUUGCUAUUUGAAUGAAAAUAGAAUCCCAGCUGUAGUCCUCUGCCCUGGAGGACAGCCAGGUCCCUUAUCCCUGCAGGUCGAACUGACUGAAAAGGGGAAAAGCGAUCUGGGCGGGCAGGAAGGUCACACUUUGCAUGCAAGGUGUGUUUUGAGAGGCCAUGCCAUGCAAGCGGGCAUGGCAGGGAAGGACCCUCAGUCUUCCCUGCAAUAAAUUGUCCUGCAAGGUUGUCGACAAGCUGAGCCCUCUGGGCUAGGAUCUGGAGGAAAGACUGCGUGGGAAAUGGUAAGCUCCUUGAAGACAGGUGGCUUGUCUGUCUUGUUCACAAUUAACAUCAACAGCACGUAGCAGCAUCUUUAGUCAACGUCCAGCGAAGAGUACACACAUGCUCGACAUACAUUAUCCGAGAUACAUUAUCCGAGAUGCUGCGUGGUGAAGACAGUUCCUAUCUGAAGCAAACAUGGCCCAAACCUGCAUGCUCCAGGCCCUCAGACCACUUUUCUCCUUGGCACUGAAGGACCUUCUGGAAGGCCAGCUCUUCUUGAGCUCAGGACUGAUGAUGAGAAGGAGUGGAGCCAUGCUGGAAUCUAGUAUGCAUUUACUCAACGAGUCUUCACUGAGCACCUGAGGGGCAUAGGAUGGGCACUGAUUCCUUAGGAUGUCACUGGCCCCAAGGGUGUGUGUGAGUGUACACAAGAAGAUAGCCAUCUGCAUGCCAGAGAGCCCUCGCCAGGAAUCUCUUCAGGAACUGAAUUGGCCAGCACCUUGAUAUUGGGAUUCUAGCCUCCAGAGCUGGCACUUUCCAGAAGCUACACACUACCCGAAAAGCUACUCCUCAAAACUUCAUCCCACAGCCACACCUUGCUGCAAGGGAAGACGGGAACUGCAGAUUCAAUUCGGAGAAACCAUGUGCACAGCCUGUGCACAGCCACUGUGGAUAUGUGGGGUUCCAUUACUGAAGAUGUAGAGAAUGGAAGGUGGGGGACCCAUCAGCCACAACAGGGAAAGAGUAUGAUCAGCGGAUUGGGUUGUAGAUAACGUUCACGGGACCUGUCAAGAGAUAGUUCUCUAUGAGUCUCUCUCACAUUUGUGGAUGGCCCACAAGCAGCAGGACUGGCUGUCCUUCUCCUAGACUAUCUUUCCAAGGUUGUUUGUAUGGCAAGAAUGCUUAGAAGACAGAGAUAACGUCUACCCAUGGAGUGAAGUGCAGGCAGACUAACGUCCGAAAUAAUAAAGAUAAUGGCUCCUUUCGCAGAUCAUGUCUCCUCUGCCUAAGAGGAGGUUUAUUGCCCAUUACACAAUGCUUGGGUUCCCUAAGCACAGGAUUCCAAAUUGAGAGAGAUGCUAUAAAAAUAUUAACAUCAUGAAAUACAAAAAAGGAAAGAACUACAUAUUCUAAACAGCAAGGGACUAAACGGGACAACAAAAUGCAAUUUGUCACUCUGAUUGGAUCUUGAAUUGAAAAAGGAAAAAGCUAUAAUAAUAUUAUCUGACGUAUGUCCAUAUUCACAUUUCCCUUGGAAAAACUGAAUGUGGCUACAUAUUAGAUAAUAUUAUGUCCUUGUUAAAUUUCUUGAAUGUGAUCGCGGUAUUGUAAUUAUGUAAGAAAGUGUUCAAAUUCUUAGGAGAUACACAUAGAAAUACGUAGGAGAGAAAGGUCGUGAUCUCAGCGACUUACUUUCAAAUGGCUCAGGAAAAGAAUGUGUACACGCAUAUAACAGCUUGCUAGCAGUUGGUGAACUGGGGUGAGGAACGUAUGAGUGUUCUUUGAAUUAUUGUAUAAUCUUCUCUGUAGUUUUCAAAGACAACGGGUUGGAAACAAUAGGAUGGAAUCCUGGUGAGCCUGUGGAAGGUGGGUUGGGGGAGGCCAUGGCUGGACUCGGGGAGGCUGACCUAGGAAUUCCACCCAUUCAGGAUUUCUCUCACCAUCAUUCACCAGCCUGGUCUCUGGUCCUGCUGAUAAAGGACUUUUUCCAGGCCUCCCCCAGGCUGCCCAGCUGGUAACCAGAGAGGCAAAGGAGGUCCAACUCCCUGUGGCCACUGGAAAAAUCCUGGGGAAGGGCCUGCUGGGCUCAGCUCGGGUCAUGCACAUGGCCACCCCGGUCAGAAAAGGGCAGGGUGGCCAGGACCCAGUAUCGGCUGUGUACUCCGAGACGGUGGCCUUCGUGAAGGUGGCAGGGGUCAGCACGGGAUCAGUUACACACAGAGAGCAGGGAGGAGGAGAGAAGCGGGGGAGCAGAGGAAAUAAAGAUGAUUCAGCACUUACCAUUAACGGAGAGAAUACAAGGGGAGAAGUUUGGAGUGCUCUAUUAUGCACUUGAAAUCGGAAGCUUUGGGGGCAUGAAGAGGAGGAAUGUCACAGAUUGUUGGAAGAACAGAUCUGUAGCUCAGAAGACUGUUGGCAGUCCCAGGUGGGCGACGAAGGCGAUGGGGGAGUCAGCCCCAGUACCAGAAGUUGGAAGGUGCUACCUCGUCCAGCAGCCUAGCAGCAGAGCCCUCUCCUUGUAAGGAGGCCCCCGGAUGAGGAAGAGGGACCCUGGCUAAUGAUGAGGGAGGAG